Molecule: long non-coding RNA, 732 nt
Organism: Sceloporus undulatus (fence lizard)
Lineage: Eukaryota; Metazoa; Chordata; Lepidosauria; Squamata; Phrynosomatidae
Exons: 5
Source: RefSeq, a predicted model, not a curated record
GCAAACUAAUGGGGAUGACAUUCCGGCCAAAAAAGAAGCAAUUACAAGGGGAUAAUGAAAAGAUCCGCUUUCUUAGUGGGAACAACAGGCCUUCUGGAAUCGAUUUACCAACACGGAGCGAAGGUGAAUUGCACACCGGUUUAAAUGUCAUGUGCUUCUUCCUUGGGAAUGAAAAGAAGAAUUUAAUAGCAAAGAAUGUAGAAAUCUCUCCUUGCCCUAGACAUGCCUGUCAUUUCUUAAUUCUCUAUGGAAAACACGCUCGGCCGCUCUUGGAAAGCAUUCAGGUCCUCUGUUUCAAACAGCGGGAGCUCACUUUGGCAGCAUCUCCAGUUAUUACAGCACCUUUGCAGUAGGAUGAUGACCUUUUCCUUCUGGCAAUAGCAAGCCAAUCUUCUUAAGCAGAACAGGCCAACAUUCAACAGUGGAGGCCAAAUGCACUGAAGAAUGUUAAUCCAGUGUGUUUAGACAAUUUGGUUUUGCAGCAUAUUAUCAGUGGAAAACGUACUGCAAUGGGUCAAGAAAUAAAGCUGACUUCUUCCAACGGCUAUCUGGCCUUACUUUCCCUAUCAUUCACACUGAACAAAAAAACUCAUUUUAAUUAAGGCGCUAUCUCCAUUCUGCUAUAAAAAUUUUAUGGCCUAUUCAUAAAGAGAAUUGAAAGAUACAUUUUGAGCAAAAGAAAGGCUGUGUGUGUGUUUCCCCUUUUAAAAAGCAAAAUGUUUUACAGGGUAU